This is a non-coding RNA of Chelonoidis abingdonii (Abingdon island giant tortoise), 2874 nucleotides long. NCBI's taxonomy places the organism in Eukaryota, Metazoa, Chordata, Testudines, Testudinidae. The record is from RefSeq and is a predicted model, not a curated record.
CAUAUUUUGCACAAAGAUUAUUACAGUCAUGUGUAGGGGGUGAAGACAAGAUGCAUUCCGUCACACCCAUUUGAUUGUUACCCAGCCAUUCUAUUGGAAAACCCAGUUGCUCUGUGUUCUGUUGAUGAUAGUAUUGCCAUAGAUAUUUUGUCAUUUCAGGAGGCAAAGAGACCUCUCCAGAGGACACCCCUGAUAACCUGGUGAGUGAGAGAGACAGGCAUUGUUGCUGUUUUUCACUGUGGAGUAGUCAGCCUUGUUUGGGAUGCCAAAUCUCAAAUGAUCAGACGCAGGCCAGUCAUCCUGGAGUAGGCCUGGUGAUGGAGAAAGCAGUUUUGAGGUCUAGGGGCUGUAACAGGGCACUGCUGGAGGGAAGUUCACACUGUUGGGAGUUUAAUCUGUCAUUGGCAGGACCUUGCUGUGCAGGCUCAGGGCAUCAAUAUGAGGGAGCUCUUGCUGGUCCUGCUGCCAGGGGGCUGGAAUUCAAGCAACAUGCUUGCAGUUUGCAGUGCUGCUGAGGCAGUCUCUUCACUAGCAUGUGUGAUUGGGAGGUGAGGAGGGAAGGAAAGGGUUCCAAGGAGGGCACUUUCUCCCCAGCGAAGGGCUGUUGUGAGCCAGCGUGGCCCUGUGUCUUUUCAGGUGAACGAUGUCAAGAUGAUCCUGUGGAAACUGGUGGCCACAGACCAGCUCCAGAGCCAGGGCUUUACCAAAUCAGAGCAGCCCCGACAGAAACCCAACAAACGAGACUGCUUCUGGAAGUACUGUGUCACCAACUGAGGCUGCCUGUCACAUGGCCAUCCCAACGGAGACAUGCACUUUCUGAGUCCUCCACCAAGAGUCCUCCACAAACUUGGCCCCCUUGGAUGCGUGUGCCCCUUCCUUGCCUGCCUUUGUGCCCCCCAGCCUCUCUGCAGCUGCCAUGGAAGAGCAUGCAUUGCUUUGUAAAUAGCAUUACAAAUAAUGAGGAUGUGUCGGUGGAAAGAGGAGAGCAUUUGUAAGAGGGUAAUUGGCUUAGUAUGUUGAGAGAAAGAACAGGGCUUGACUCUGUUCAGAUGAAAUAGUCCAUAUUGAAAUAUAGGCUAUAGUCCUGGGGCUGUAUGCCCCUGCCACAGCAUGCACAGAAACCCACUGAAGUCAAGUAUCCUGCAGUGUGAGAAUCAGGCAUCUGAUGCCUUUAAAGGUCCCCCCAUCCUGCAGUGUGAAUUCCACUGAAUAAUGCUGAGCUCCUGGAAAGAGACAUCCCUGUGCUGCACUACAGGAGGAAUGUGAAAGGGCUGGAACUGUUCCAGGCCUGUUUCAGCAUUGCAAAUUUCAGACAAACUAGGAAGACAAAAAAGCAUGACACAUGCUGGGCGUUUGUCAGUUUGUACUUGAGCCUGUCAGGUCCAUUGCAGAGAUCACAAGAUGGGAGUGCCCCAGGAUCAGCAGACAAUUAAGAAGAAAACUGAAUGAUCAAACUCUCAUGCUGAAAACCACAAGGCAGCUGCGCUGGUUUCCUGCCCAUCACAUGAUUGACUUGUAAAGCAGCUAAACCGUUCUUGUGGCUGUGUGGAUUAUAGCAAUGGAAUGGUGUAGCUGCUGAGGGAUAAAGGCCAGACUUGGUCUGGCAACAGAGACAGCUAAGUGGGAAAAAGAAAAACAAAACCCUUCACUGAUCAUUUUCCAGGCCUCCAGGAUAUGCACCUAGCAACUGUUCAUCUCACCAGGUUUGCUGCUGUUCAUUCCCCCAGCUCUAGCACUUGGUGGCUUACCCCCACUUGGAGCUAUUUUAUUUAAUAAACCCUGACACGUUUAAAACAUGGUCUUGAUUUCUUGUGUGUUUGGCUCUUUCUCUUUACUCUCUGAGUCCAUCUUGUUUAGUGUCUUUGGCCCCUCUACUUCCCUCCCUUACAUUGCACAGAGGAAACAGGUGGGAGUAAAUGAAGCAUAAAGGGCUCACAGAAAGACAGGAAAUGCUGCUGCAUAGUGCCAUCCGAUGGCUCUGCAUAGAAUGCACAGGCAACAUGGAUGUCCUUGCACACCAGGAACUGAACUGGGGCCCUCAAGAGCUAAAAGCACCAGUGGCUACAGCCUGCUGCUGCUGAACAGACUCAUGUUCGCCAUGGAUGGGGGACCAUGGUGAACAUGGUGAAAUGGGGGAUGGGGCCUCCCCCUCAAGGAGGAGUCAGGGACAAGUCCGUGGAUGCAGCAUAUUCCUCUCCCAAAUCCAAGCACAUGGUGCAGAAAGCAAGAGCAGAAGUUACUGACCAGCAGUAAGUGCCCUAUAUACUCUUCACCCUUCACGGGUGGCAUGGGCACUUCAGAUGCUAACAGGGGACUAAUAUCAGCACAGCAAAGGGACAAGCCAAAACCGAGGGGCCUGGGAGCCCUAUGGAGGGCCAUGAUCUCAACCAACGUGUGGUCAGCAGGCCCCGUCCUUUGCAGUAUUCCUACUGCCAGUGAGUGACAUCGUCAAUAAUGCCAAAGCUGUUGCUAUGCUGCUGUGGCUUCUCACUUUCUGAGGGGAGUACAGGGGCCAUGGAAUUCCUGUUCAUAUGACGCUGCUCUAUAGCGCUCGGGAUGCAGAGCAGAUGCAGUGUGCCACCCCAGAGCGGGCUGCCUUCCAGGUUGUGGCUAUAGCCCUCUAGUCUGUACAGUAUGUUAGGAUCCUUCAGCACAAGGGACUGCACAGAAAAUGGAGGUCAUUAUCACUGUUUAUUUUAGAAAUGCAAUUAAUAUUCACUUCCUCAUGUUCCCAGCACAACCCCCCCACCUUUUCAUGCUCUGCUGCCUUCUCUAGCUCUUAGCAUCUCCUGGACAGCAGUCUGGGGCUGCAUUGUGAAAGUUGUAUAUAAAAUAAAGUUUAUCAUCACUUGAAUGAAUGUGAAACUAACAAAU